Molecule: RNA transcript, 1176 nt
Organism: Chelonia mydas (Green sea turtle)
Lineage: Eukaryota; Metazoa; Chordata; Testudines; Cheloniidae
Gene name: ficolin-1-like
Exons: 4
Source: RefSeq, a predicted model, not a curated record
GAACUGCAAGGAGCCGUUGGCCAGAGGGAACACCCUGAGGGGCUGGUACGCCAUCUACCCCCGCGACUGUAACGCCAUGACUGUGCUGUGUGACAUGGACACAGACGGAGGAGGAUGGACUGUUUUCCAGAGACAGGUGGAUGGUUCAGUGGAUUUUUUCCGUGACUGGGAGUCAUACAAGAAAGGUUUUGGCAACCAGCAGAUGGAAUUCUGGCAACAUUCACCUGCUAACAUCUCAUGGAAGUAAUGAGCUGCACGUCGACCUCAUGGAUUCUGAAACCGAGAAGUAUUUUGCCAAGUACAAAUCAUUCCAAAUUUUAGGAGAAUCUGAGAACUAUAAACUGAUUCUAGGAGACUUUCUCAAUGGCACAGCAGCAGUUCUCCCGUGAAGACAGGGAGGAAACAUCAUCCCUUGGAACAUGGCUCCCAGUUUCACGCAUCACUGAGGACCCAUGACACUGGUACCAAUCACAGAAGUGCUCUUAAAUCAAACCCACAGAACAGGAAGUACAUCCUGUAGUCAUUGCUGUGCUAGCUUUGCCUGGGCCCAGGGUCAAACCUGAACCCGUAGUGGUGGGUUUUGGUUCUGCCAAGAGCCACGGACCCAGACUGGCUUCAGGUUUCUAUAUUUUCCAUCUAGCACCUCCUGUCACCAGCCCCAAAGCCAAAUCCCGUGGCCCUUACCCAGGCCAAAGUGUCAGGUCACACUGAGAUCAAUAGGAUUUUGGGUGAAUGAGGUCUGAGUACAAAGCUCAGGAACAAGGCCUCUGUUAGAGGGGUUUGAAAGUUUUAGCCCAGUUUUGGCUUAAAACGUGGCCCAAAAAUAUCCCUUGGAUCUGAACCACCAAUACUUUGGGGGUAGUUUGGAACUGGACUUUGUAGCUGGACUCAUCUCUGUAAAGGGAUGAACCAAAAUCCCUGAUCCAAACUGCCUGAACUUGGGGAACAGUUGGAUUUGAAGCCAAAGUUUGUGAUUUGUGCCAUCCUGGUUCUGGCCCUAGCUGUAAAGCUUAGGGGUAGUUUUCAGGGUCCAGAUAUUUGAGCAUAAACCCCCAGUGUAAGCAAGACCGAAUGUGUCAUUCUCGGAGCACUGUUAUAAAAAGUUUCCUCUUCCUCCCUAUUCCUGAGAGGCCUCCAGAGUGAAACAGCAGCCUCCCCCCCCCGUACUGUGAGGAC